RNAcentral lists this ribosomal RNA (971 nucleotides) under Treponema socranskii. RNAcentral describes it as "bacterial SSU rRNA". It matches the Rfam family "Bacterial small subunit ribosomal RNA", at positions 28 to 995 of the family's 1533-position model. Lineage: Bacteria; Pseudomonadati; Spirochaetota; Spirochaetia; Treponematales; Treponemataceae. The record is from RNAcentral.
AACGAACGCUGGCGGCGCGUCUUAACCAUGCAAGUCGAGCGGCAGGCAGCAAUGCCGAGAGCGGCGGACUGGUGAGUAACACGUGGAUAACGUACCCCGAUGCCCGGGACAGCCUGUAGAAAUAGAGGGUGAUACCGGAUAGAUCACUGUAUACGGAAGGUAGACAGCGGGAAAGGAGCUUGGCUCCGCGCCGGGAACGGUCUGCGGCCCAUCAGCUGGACGGCGGGGUAACGGCCCGCCGUGGCGAGGACGGGUAUCCGGCCUGAGAGGGCGGACGGACACAUUGGGACUGAGAUACGGCCCAGACUCCUACGGGAGGCAGCAGGUAAGAAUAUUCCGCAAUGGGGGGAACCCUGACGGAGCGACGCCGCGUGAACGAAGAAGGCCGGAAGGUUGUAAAGUUCUUUUCUGUCCGAGGAAUAAGUGUAGGAGGAAAUGCCUGCAUGGUGACGGUAGGGCAGGAAUAAGCACCGGCUAAUUACGUGCCAGCAGCCGCGGUAACACGUAAGGUGCGAGCGUUGUUCGGAAUUAUUGGGCGUAAAGGGCAUGCAGGCGGGUCGCCAAGCUUGGUAAGAAAUACCGGGGCUCAACUCCGGAGCUAUAUUGAGAACUGGCGAGCUAGAGUUGCCGAAGGGUAUCCGGAAUUCCGCGUGAAGGGGUGAAAUCUGUAGAUAUGCGGAAGAACACCGAUGGCGAAGGCAGGAUACCGGCGGACGACUGACGCUGAGGUGCGAAGGUGCGGGGAGCAAACAGGAUUAGAUACCCUGGUAGUCCGCACAGUCAACGAUGUACACUGGGCGUGUGCGCAAGAGCGUGCGUGCCGAAGCAAACGCGAUAAGUGUACCGCCUGGGGAGUAUGCCCGCAAGGGUGAAACUCAAAGGAAUUGACGGGGGCCCGCACAAGCGGUGGAGCAUGUGGUUUAAUUCGAUGGUACGCGAGGAACCUUACCUGGGUUUGACAUCAAGAGGGA